This is a long non-coding RNA of Oncorhynchus tshawytscha (Chinook salmon), 601 nucleotides long. The record is from Ensembl. NCBI's taxonomy places the organism in Eukaryota, Metazoa, Chordata, Actinopteri, Salmoniformes, Salmonidae.
CAUGGAGGAUAAGGAUGUUCUAUCCACAUAGAGGAAAUGGAGGAUAAGGAUGUUCUAUCCACAUAGAGGAAAUGGAGGAUAAGGAUGUUCUAUCCACAUAGAGGAAAUGGAGGAUAAGGAUGUUCUGUCCACAUGGAGGAUAAGGAUGUUCUAUCCACAUAGAGGAAAUGGAGGAUAAGGAUGUUCUGUCCACAUGGAGGAAAUGGAGGAUAAGGAUGUUCUAUCCACAUAGAGGAAAUGGAGGAUAAGGAUGUUCUAUCCACAUAGAGGAAAUGGAGGAUAAGGAUGUUCUGUCCACAUGGAGGAUAAGGAUGUUCUAUCCACAUAGAGGAAAUGGAGGAUAAGGAUGUUCUAUCUACAUAGAGGAAAUGGAGGAGGGAUAAGGAUGUUCAAUCUACAUCCUCUAUGUAGGUAGAACAUCCUCACCACCAUACUGUAGGUAGAACAUCCUCACCACCAUACUGUAGGUAGGACAUCCUCACCACCAUACUGUAGGUAGAACAUCCUCACCACCAUACUGUAGGUAGAACAUCCUCACCACCAUACUGUAGGUAGAACAUCCUCACCACCAUACUGUAGGUAGAACAUCCUCACCACCAUA